UGGGGAAUAUUGGGCAAUGGGCGCAAGCCUGACCCAGCCACGCCGCGUGAGUGAUGAAGGCCUUCGGGUCGUAAAGCUCUGUGGGGAGGGACGAAAAAACGCUGGCCAAUAUCCAGCGGACUGACGGUACCUCCUUAGCAAGCACCGGCUAACUCUGUGCCAGCAGCCGCGGUAAUACAGAGGGUGCAAACGUUGCUCGGAAUCAUUGGGCGUAAAGCGCACGUAGGCGGCCCAGCAAGUGGGGAGUGAAAGCCCUCGGCUUAACCGAGGAAGUGCUUUCCAAACUACUGGGCUUGAAUACUGGAGAGGGUCGCGGAAUUCCCGGUGUAGAGGUGAAAUUCGUAGAUAUCGGGAGGAACACCAGUGGCGAAGGCGGCGACCUGGACAGAUAUUGACGCUGAGGUGCGAAAGCGUGGGGAGCAAAC
Molecule: ribosomal RNA, 425 nt
Filed under: uncultured bacterium
Lineage: Bacteria
Description: bacterial SSU rRNA
Rfam family: Bacterial small subunit ribosomal RNA
Source: RNAcentral